RNAcentral lists this ribosomal RNA (491 nucleotides) under uncultured bacterium. RNAcentral's name for it is "bacterial SSU rRNA". It matches the Rfam family "Bacterial small subunit ribosomal RNA", at positions 903 to 1397 of the family's 1533-position model. The record is from RNAcentral.
AAAUGAAUUGACGGGGGCCCGCACAAGCAGUGGAUUAUGUGGUUUAAUUCGAAGCAACGCGAAGAACCUUACCAGGAUUUGACAUCCAACUAACGAAGCAGAGAUGCAUUAGGUACCCUUCGGGGGAAGUUGAGACAGGUGGUGCAUGGUUGUCGUCAGCUCGUGUCGUGAGAUGUUGGGUUAAGUCCCGCAACGAGCGCAACCCUUAUUGUUAGUUGCUACGCAAGAGCACUCUAGCGAGACUGCCGUUGACAAAACGGAGGAAGGUGGGGACGACGUCAAAUCAUCAUGCCCUUUAUGUCCUGGGCUACACACGUAAUACAAUGGCGCUAAACAGAGGGAGGCUAAGCCGCGAGGUAGAGCAAAUCCCCAAAAGGCGUCUCAGUUCGGAUUGCAGUCUGAAACCCGACUGCAUGAAGUCGGAAUUGCUAGUAAUCGCGGAUCAGCAUGCCGCGGUGAAUACGUUCCCGGGCCUUGUACACACCGCCCGU